This 1496-nucleotide ribosomal RNA is filed under the name human metagenome. RNAcentral describes it as "bacterial LSU rRNA". It matches the Rfam family "Bacterial large subunit ribosomal RNA", at positions 831 to 2351 of the family's 2925-position model. The record is from RNAcentral.
AAUCGAACCCGGAGAUAGCUGGUUCUCCUCGAAAUAGCUUUAGGGCUAGCCUCGUUUUAGUCUUGUGGAGGUAGAGCACUGAAUUUCCGCGGGGGCGUCAAAGCUUACCAAAGAAUAUCAAACUCCGAAUGCCAUUAAGAUGAUGAACGGGAGUCAGACUGUACGAGAUAAGUUGGACAGUCAAAAGGGAAAGAGCCCAGACCACCAGCUAAGGUCCCAAAGUGUGUGUUAAGUGGAAAAGGAUGUGGGGAUUCAAAGACAACUAGGAUGUUGGCUCAGAAGCAGCCAUACAUUCAAAGAGUGCGUAACAGCUCACUAGUCGAGAGUCCCUGCGCCGAAAAUGUCCGGGGCUGAAACACACCACCGAAGCCGUGGAAUUGCUUAGGCAAUUGGUAGAGGAGCAUUCUUAAGACCGAUGAAGCUGUACCGGAAGGAGCAGUGGAGGGAUAAGAAGAGAGAAUGCCGGAAUGAGUAGCGAGAGGAAGGUGAGAAUCCUUCCGGCCGAAUAUCCAAGGAUUCCAGGGUAAAGCUGAUCUGCCCUGGGUAAGUCGGGACCUAAGGAGAGGCCGAGAGGCGUAUCCGAUGGACAACAGGUUUAGAUUCCUGUACCACAUAUGGUCAGAACUGUGGGGACGCAGAAGGAAAGCAUGAGCCAGGAAUGGAAAGACUGGUACAAGCAGAGGGGAUGGUGUGCUGGCAAAUCCGCACACGAAAAUCCUUGCUGUGAUGUGGAGCGAACUAAAGUAGCGAAGCAUGCGGACCGGCUGCCGAGAAAAGCCGCUAUUGUACCAUAUGUGCCCGUACCGUAAACCGACACAGGUGGAUGAGGAGAGAAUCCUAAGGCCGACGGAAGAAGUAUUGUUAAGGAACUCGGCAAAAUGACCCCGUAACUUCGGGAGAAGGGGUGCCUGAGAAAUCAGGCCGCAGAGAAUAGGCUCAAGCAACUGUUUAGCAAAAACACAGGUCUAUGCAAAACCGAAAGGUGAAGUAUAUGGGCUGACGCCUGCCCGGUGCUGGAAGGUUAAGAGGAGAGGUUAGCGCAAGCGAAGCUUUGAAUUUAAGCCCCAGUAAACGGCGGCCGUAACUAUAACGGUCCUAAGGUAGCGAAAUUCCUUGUCGGGUAAGUUCCGACCCGCACGAAAGGCGUAAUGAUUUGAGCGCUGUCUCGACAAUGCAUCCGGUGAAAUUGAAGUACCAGUGAAGAUGCUGGUUACCCGCGCCAGGACGGAAAGACCCCAUGGAGCUUUACUCCAGUUUGGUACUGGGAUUCGGUACUGCAUGUACAGGAUAGGUGGGAGACGAAGAAGUUAGGACGCCAGUCUUAACGGAGUCGCUGUUGGGAUACCACCCUUGCAGUAUUGGGUUUCUAACCAGCCGCUGUGAACCAGCGGUGGGACAAUGCCAGGCGGGGAGUUUGACUGGGGCGGUCGCCUCCGAAAGGGUAUCGGAGGCGCUCAAAGGUUCCCUCAGAAUGGUUGGAAACCAUUCGAAGAGUG